This 239-nucleotide ribosomal RNA is filed under the name uncultured bacterium. RNAcentral's name for it is "partial 16S ribosomal RNA". It matches the Rfam family "Bacterial small subunit ribosomal RNA", at positions 95 to 334 of the family's 1533-position model. The record is from RNAcentral.
CGGGCGGACGGGUGAGUAGCGCGUGGGUGACCUGCCCCAUACCGGGGGAUAACAGCUGGAAACGGCUGCUAAUACCGCAUAAGCGCACAGAGCUGCAUGGCUCGGUGUGAAAAACUCCGGUGGUAUGGGAUGGGCCCGCGUCUGAUUAGGCAGUUGGCGGGGUAACGGCCCACCAAACCGACGAUCAGUAGCCGGCCUGAGAGGGCGACCGGCCACAUUGGGACUGAGACACGGCCCAA